RNAcentral lists this ribosomal RNA (2904 nucleotides) under Escherichia coli. RNAcentral's name for it is "23S ribosomal RNA". It matches the Rfam family "Bacterial large subunit ribosomal RNA". RNAcentral also lists the same sequence under 1 other name. The record is from RNAcentral. Lineage: Bacteria; Pseudomonadati; Pseudomonadota; Gammaproteobacteria; Enterobacterales; Enterobacteriaceae.
GGUUAAGCGACUAAGCGUACACGGUGGAUGCCCUGGCAGUCAGAGGCGAUGAAGGACGUGCUAAUCUGCGAUAAGCGUCGGUAAGGUGAUAUGAACCGUUAUAACCGGCGAUUUCCGAAUGGGGAAACCCAGUGUGUUUCGACACACUAUCAUUAACUGAAUCCAUAGGUUAAUGAGGCGAACCGGGGGAACUGAAACAUCUAAGUACCCCGAGGAAAAGAAAUCAACCGAGAUUCCCCCAGUAGCGGCGAGCGAACGGGGAGCAGCCCAGAGCCUGAAUCAGUGUGUGUGUUAGUGGAAGCGUCUGGAAAGGCGCGCGAUACAGGGUGACAGCCCCGUACACAAAAAUGCACAUACUGUGAGCUCGAUGAGUAGGGCGGGACACGUGGUAUCCUGUCUGAAUAUGGGGGGACCAUCCUCCAAGGCUAAAUACUCCUGACUGACCGAUAGUGAACCAGUACCGUGAGGGAAAGGCGAAAAGAACCCCGGCGAGGGGAGUGAAAAAGAACCUGAAACCGUGUACGUACAAGCAGUGGGAGCCUCUUAAUGGGGUGACUGCGUACCUUUUGUAUAAUGGGUCAGCGACUUAUAUUCUGUAGCAAGGUUAACCGAAUAGGGGAGCCGAAGGGAAACCGAGUCUUAACUGGGCGUUAAGUUGCAGGGUAUAGACCCGAAACCCGGUGAUCUAGCCAUGGGCAGGUUGAAGGUUGGGUAACACUAACUGGAGGACCGAACCGACUAAUGUUGAAAAAUUAGCGGAUGACUUGUGGCUGGGGGUGAAAGGCCAAUCAAACCGGGAGAUAGCUGGUUCUCCCCGAAAGCUAUUUAGGUAGCGCCUCGUGAAUUCAUCUCCGGGGGUAGAGCACUGUUUCGGCAAGGGGGUCAUCCCGACUUACCAACCCGAUGCAAACUGCGAAUACCGGAGAAUGUUAUCACGGGAGACACACGGCGGGUGCUAACGUCCGUCGUGAAGAGGGAAACAACCCAGACCGCCAGCUAAGGUCCCAAAGUCAUGGUUAAGUGGGAAACGAUGUGGGAAGGCCCAGACAGCCAGGAUGUUGGCUUAGAAGCAGCCAUCAUUUAAAGAAAGCGUAAUAGCUCACUGGUCGAGUCGGCCUGCGCGGAAGAUGUAACGGGGCUAAACCAUGCACCGAAGCUGCGGCAGCGACACUGUGUGUUGUUGGGUAGGGGAGCGUUCUGUAAGCCUGUGAAGGUGUGCUGUGAGGCAUGCUGGAGGUAUCAGAAGUGCGAAUGCUGACAUAAGUAACGAUAAAGCGGGUGAAAAGCCCGCUCGCCGGAAGACCAAGGGUUCCUGUCCAACGUUAAUCGGGGCAGGGUGAGUCGACCCCUAAGGCGAGGCCGAAAGGCGUAGUCGAUGGGAAACAGGUUAAUAUUCCUGUACUUGGUGUUACUGCGAAGGGGGGACGGAGAAGGCUAUGUUGGCCGGGCGACGGUUGUCCCGGUUUAAGCGUGUAGGCUGGUUUUCCAGGCAAAUCCGGAAAAUCAAGGCUGAGGCGUGAUGACGAGGCACUACGGUGCUGAAGCAACAAAUGCCCUGCUUCCAGGAAAAGCCUCUAAGCAUCAGGUAACAUUAAAUCGUACCCCAAACCGACACAGGUGGUCAGGUAGAGAAUACCAAGGCGCUUGAGAGAACUCGGGUGAAGGAACUAGGCAAAAUGGUGCCGUAACUUCGGGAGAAGGCACGCUGAUAUGUAGGUGAAGUCCCUCGCGGAUGGAGCUGAAAUCAGUCGAAGAUACCAGCUGGCUGCAACUGUUUAUUAAAAACACAGCACUGUGCAAACACGAAAGUGGACGUAUACGGUGUGACGCCUGCCCGGUGCCGGAAGGUUAAUUGAUGGGGUUAGCGGUAACGCGAAGCUCUUGAUCGAAGCCCCGGUAAACGGCGGCCGUAACUAUAACGGUCCUAAGGUAGCGAAAUUCCUUGUCGGGUAAGUUCCGACCUGCACGAAUGGCGUAAUGAUGGCCAGGCUGUCUCCACCCGAGACUCAGUGAAAUUGAACUCGCUGUGAAGAUGCAGUGUACCCGCGGCAAGACGGAAAGACCCCGUGAACCUUUACUAUAGCUUGACACUGAACAUUGAGCCUUGAUGUGUAGGAUAGGUGGGAGGCUUUGAAGUGUGGACGCCAGUCUGCAUGGAGCCGGCCUUGAAAUACCACCCUUUAAUGUUUGAUGUUCUAACGUUGGCCCCUGAUCGGGGUUGCGGACAGUGUCUGGUGGGUAGUUUGACUGGGGCGGUCUCCUCCUAAAGAGUAACGGAGGAGCACGAAGGUUGGCUAAUCCUGGUCGGACAUCAGGAGGUUAGUGCAAUGGCAUAAGCCAGCUUGACUGCGAGCGUGACGGCGCGAGCAGGUGCGAAAGCAGGUCAUAGUGAUCCGGUGGUUCUGAAUGGAAGGGCCAUCGCUCAACGGAUAAAAGGUACUCCGGGGAUAACAGGCUGAUACCGCCCAAGAGUUCAUAUCGACGGCGGUGUUUGGCACCUCGAUGUCGGCUCAUCACAUCCUGGGGCUGAAGUAGGUCCCAAGGGUAUGGCUGUUCGCCAUUUAAAGUGGUACGCGAGCUGGGUUUAGAACGUCGUGAGACAGUUCGGUCCCUAUCUGCCGUGGGCGCUGGAGAACUGAGGGGGGCUGCUCCUAGUACGAGAGGACCGGAGUGGACGCAUCACUGGUGUUCGGGUUGUCAUGCCAAUGGCACUGCCCGGUAGCUAAAUGCGGAAGAGAUAAGUGCUGAAAGCAUCUAAGCACGAAACUUGCCCCGAGAUGAGUUCUCCCUGACUCCUUGAGAGUCCUGAAGGAACGUUGAAGACGACGACGUUGAUAGGCCGGGUGUGUAAGCGCAGCGAUGCGUUGAGCUAACCGGUACUAAUGAACCGUGAGGCUUAACCUU